This is an RNA transcript of Acinonyx jubatus (cheetah), 6337 nucleotides long. It is a transcript of the gene named TELO2 interacting protein 1, with no coding region annotated. Lineage: Eukaryota; Metazoa; Chordata; Mammalia; Carnivora; Felidae. The transcript has 9 exons. The record is from RefSeq and is a predicted model, not a curated record.
CAGCCGCACGCAGGCGCAGUGAGCCUCACCGGAACCCUUUCUCCCGCUCCCGCAGAACCUUUCUGGCGCUGGACGGCGCGCUAGUUAGAACGUCACUUCCGGCGGGGCCGCGGAGGCGGGAGAGUGAGGGAAAGGCUGGAAGACGAGCCUGCAGGAUGCGUCCUCAGUGAGAAGGCUGCUGCGCAAUGGCAGUUUUUGACACUCCUGAGGAGGCCUUUGGUGUUUUACGUCCGGUCUGUGUUCAGCUCACAAAGACACAGACGGUGGAGAACGUGGAGCGUCUGCAGGCACAGUUGCGAGCCGUGAGUGACUCUGCCCUUCAGGAGCUCCAGCAGUAUGUCCUCUUCCCUUUGCGAUUCACCCUGAAGACCCCGGCUCCCAAAAGAGAGCGCUUGGUCCAGAGCGUGGUGGAGUGCCUCACGUUUGUCCUCUCUUCAACAUGUGUGAAGGAACAAGAACUUCUCCGGGAGCUCUUUUCGGAACUCUCUGCUUGUCUGUAUUCGCCCAGCUCCCAAAAACCCGCAGCUGUGUCCGAGGAGUUGAAAUUGGCGGUGAUCCGGGGCCUCAGCACAUUAAUGCACUCGGCUUAUGGGGACAUCAUUCUGGCUUUUUACGAGCCCUCCAUUCUGCCUCGUUUAGGAUUUGCUGUAUCUUUACUGUUGGACCUAGCAGAACGGGAGAAAUCAAAGCAGAUUAAAAUUGCUGCCUUAAAAUGUUUACAGGUUUUACUCUUUCAGUGUGAUUGUCAAGACCAUCCGAGGUCCUUGGAUGAGCUGGAGCAAAAGCAGCUGGGGGACUUGUUUGCCUGUUUUUUACCUGGAAUCUCAAUGGCACUGACCAGGGUCAUCACAGGAGACUUCAAACAGGGGCACGGCAUUGUCGCGUCUUCUCUAAAGAUCUUUUACGAGACAGUGAGUUUCAUUAUGGCUGAUGAACAGCUUGAAAGAAUCCCACAGGUUCAACCGAAGCCUGCAGUGGAGCACAGAGUAGCAGAGCUGGUGGUUCACAGGGAAGCCAAGUGGGUAAAAAAUACCAGCGACAAAUUGACUCUCCUUAUUAAAAAGAUAAUCGAGUGUGUUUCAGUUCACCCACACUGGAAGGUGAGGCUGGCACUGAUAGAACUCGUCGAAGCCCUUCUUCUGAAGUGCAGCCAAUCACUGGUCGGAUCGGCUGGACCCCUCCUGAAGGCUUUGGUGGGUCUAGUGAAUGACGAGAGUCCUGAAGUCCAAGGCCAGUGCAAUAGAGUUCUGAGACAUUUUGCGGACCAGAAAGUAGUGGUAGGCAACAGAGCCUUCGCCGACAUCCUGUCAGAGAACCUGCACUCCCUUGCCACAUCUCUUCCCCGCCUAAUGAACUCCCAGGACGAUCAGGGCAAAUUCUCGACGCUCUCCGUGUUACUCGGUUAUCUGAAACUCUUGGGCCCCAAAGUGAACUUCGUCCUCAACUCCGCGGCCCAUCUUCAGCGCCUUUCCAAAGCGCUUGUCCAGGUUCUAGAAUUAGACGUGACUGACAUCAAAAUCGUUGAAGCGCGGCGCUGGAAUUCCGAUCAGCUGAGUGCUUCUCCGGAGACCGUGGCUGCGCAGCCAUGGAGUCAGAUGCAGAAGAGGUACUUCCGCUUCUUCACCGACGAGAGGCUCUUCCUGCUCUUGCAGCAGGUGUGUCGGCUUCUCGGCUUUUACGGGGACCUCUAUUUGCUCACAGAUCACUUUAUGGAGCUGUACCAUGAAUCUGUGGUUUACCGGAAGCAAGCUGCCAUGAUCCUGAAUGAACUGGUUGCGGGGGCUGCUGGGCUGGAGGUGGAGAAUCUUCAUGAGAAACAUAUUAAAACAAGCCCAGACGAACUGAGAGAGAUCGUGACAUCUGUACUUGAAGAAUACACAAGCCAAGAAAACUGGCAUUUGAUCACUUGUAUCGAAUCUGAAGAAGCGGGAGAGGAGCUAACAGUGAAGCAGUCAGGCCUCCGGGCCAUCACAUCUGGUGCACACACCUGCCAAGUUCCAUCUUUUCCAGCCUUCUCAAAGCCAAGUGCCACUAUUUGCUCCAUGAACGGCAACAUCUGGCAAAUAUGCAUCCAGUUGGAAGGGAUCGGGCACUUUGCGUGUGCCCUAGGAAAAGACUUUCGUUUGCUCUUGAUGUCAGCCCUCUAUCCAGUACUGGAGAAGGCUGGAGACCAAACCCUGCUCAUUAGUCAGGCAGCUACCAGUGCCAUGAUGGACAUUUGCCGUGCUUGUGGCUACGACUCUCUGCGGCACCUGAUCAAUCAAAAUUCGGACUAUUUGGUGAAUGGAAUCUCUUUAAAUCUGCGUCAUCUGUCUCUGCACCCCCAUACCCCAAAGGUCUUGGAAGUCAUGCUGUGGAACUCAGAUGCUAGCCUGCUCCCUUUGGUGGCAGAUGUGGUUCAGGAUGUCUUGGCCACUUUGGACCAGUUUUAUGAUAAGAGAGCUACUUCCUUUGUCAGUGUCCUGCAUGCCCUGCUGGCAGCAUUAGCCCAGUGGUUCCCAGACACAGGUGAUCUUGGGCAACUCCAAGAGCAAAGUGCAGGGGAGGAGGGAAGUCAUUUGAGCCAGAGACCAGCAACUCCUGAGAAAGGACUCGAGAAUACCACCACAGCAGAAGACAUUGAACAAUUUUUGCUGAGCUACCUCAGAGAAAAGGAUGUGGCGGAUGGAAAUGUCUCAGAUUUUGAUAAUGAAGAAGAGGAGCAGUCAGACCCUCCCAAAGGGGACGAGCGUGACACCGGUCCUGAUGUAGAGCCACCACUGCCAGUGCAGGUCCAAAUAGCCGCAGAUGUGAUGGAACGCUGCAUCCAUUUGUUGUCAGAUAAACAUCUGAAAAUCCGAUUGAAGGUCUUGGAUGUGCUGGAUUUGUGUGUAGUUGUUCUGCAAUCCCACAAGAACCAGCUCCUUCCCUUGGCUCACCGGGCCUGGCCCCCACUCGUGCACCGACUCACAAAUGACGACCCCCUGGCAGUGCUCAGAGCCUUCAAGGUCUUGCAGACCCUGGGAGGCAAGUGUGGCGACUUCCUACGGAGCCGUUUCUGCAAAGAUGUCCUGCCGAAGCUGGCUGGCUCCUUAGUCACCCAGGCUCCUGUCAGUGCUCGGGCUGGGCCAGUUUAUUCCCACACACUGGCCUUCAAGCUGCAGCUGGCCGUGCUGCAGGGCCUGGGCCCCCUCUGCGAGAGACUGGACCUAGGUGAGGGUGACCUGAAUAGAGUGGCUGAUGCCUGCUUGAUUUACCUCAGCGCCAAACAGCCCGUGAAAUUACAAGAGGCUGCCAGGAGAGCUACCGGCCUCCUGGGAACAUUAGGAUGAGUAAGACCCAGGAAUGGCAGACCCACCUGAUGAAGCCUAAGAUGGGCAGAGCACCCAUUUCUUUUUCAAGGGUCAGAGAUGGCUUCCUGAGGAUAUGGCUCAGCAUGGGCAAGAGAAAAGGCCCCAGGCAAGAGCUGCUCCCCUCCAACUCUCAGUUUCCAUACCUGCAAAUGCAGGCUGCUAAGCUUCCUGGAGCCCAAACCUGAUAGACUGUGAGAAGGGCAGCCAGGUGGACCCAGCUGUCUGCACUCAGUGCAGUGAUAGGAUCUGUCAGAGCUUCCUCAGGUAGGUCACCCAGGGCCCCAGGAAGGUUAGCGGUAUGGGCCCCUAACGGAUCCCAUCAUUAACUCCUCCCUUCUGCAAAGGCCCCAUCCUUCAACUGCUCCCUACCCCCUGUACCUGGAGCAGACAGCCCUGAGGGAGGAGAACUGGGUGGCUGGCCUGGGGGCAGGGAGUUGGGCCUGGUGGUGCUGAAUGAGACGCCUCUGCUAUCCCCAGCAGCCUGGCUUUCUUUUGUAUAGUGAAUUGAAAAUUCCUCCGUAGAAUUGAGGAAUAAACAUGUUUUUCAAAUAAUACAGUGUACUGAGCCUGAAGUACCUAGAAUUCAGGACAAAGUCAGGCUCGCAGUGGGGCCUGCUGGAAGUGAUCCAAUAUCUAUCUUCCCAUUCCUCUGAGUACAAGAACGCUGCUAUUCAUCUAGGCACACAGCUGUCAGAAUAAAGGCCAUGUUUUCUGGUGUCCCUUGCAGCUAGAUGCGGCCACGUGACUAAGUUCUGUCCCACGACAGGUAAACAGAAAUGAUCUUCAUCAUCAAACAAGUGUCUUUUAAAGAGAGAGUGUGUACCCUUCUCACCCUUUUUCUCAUUCCUGCUGGCUGAAAUGCAUACCCAGUGCAGGGAGGUAGGGUGGCCCUCUUGAACUGUGAUAAGAAGCCUGGCUGAAAGGAUGCUAGAGCUCAGGGUAGAAAUGCCAACUAGUUCAAAACAAGGGUUUUUGUGAAAUUUAGGGAAGGAGAAAACAGGGCUCCAAAAAACUUCCUUUGGUUAAAUAAGAUGCAGUGGGUCUAAACUUUGACCCAGCCCUUACAGGCUGUUAAUGUUUGUCAGAGGCAAAUCCAUAUUCAUUUACAGAGUGUGUGCCAUAAGCCAAGACCCGUACUAGGCAUUGGGGAUGCAGCAGUAAACAGGACACUUAAGAGUCUGUGCCCUCACAGAGCUUCAUUACCAUUCCUGGCAUUUUCUAGCUCAGUCUACAUUCGCAAGUGUUUUUAUAGUCACCUCCAGUCAAGAUGGCAUUGAGUCCGCGCUUUAAAAAUAACCUGCUCCUCAGCCAGAACCCUCACACAUUGUAGAUGGAAAUGCAAAAUGGUGCAGCCACUUUGAAAAACAGUUUGGAGAUUCCUUGUAAAGUUAAACAUACACUUAGCUCGGUGCCCAGUAAUCUCAGUCUUAGAUAAUUACCCAAGAGAAAUGAGAACAUCUCCACACAAAGACUUGUGUAUGGAUAUACAUGGAAGAUUUGUAUGUAAUAGCCUCAAACUAGAAACAACCCAAAUGUCCAUCAGUAAAAGGAUGGAUAAACAAAUUGUGAUAAAUCCACACAACAAAAUACUACUCAAAAGUACAAAGGAAUGAAGUAUUGGAAUACAGGAUAUGGAUACAUCUCAGAAUCACUAUGUUUAGUGAGAGAAGCCAAACACAAGAGUAUCUACUCUCUGAUUCAAUUUAUGUGAAGUUGUAGGAAAGGCAAAACUAUUCUACAGAUAGAAAGCAGAUCAGUGAUAACCUGGGCUGGGGUUUUGGCAAGAGGAUUGAUAGCAAAGGUGUACAAGGGAAGUUUGCAGGGGCUGGUGAUGAAAGUAUUCUUUUCUUGAUUGUAACAGUGAUUACAUGACUAUAUUUAUCAAAACUCAUUGAAUUUUUACACUUUGCAUUGAUGCUUUUUUGGACAUAAGUCAUACCUCAAUAAUGAUAUAGGAAAAAAUUAACCACACUGUCCAUGAAUUGUGGGGGAAAAAAACUUCUCUUUAUACAGUGCAAUAUAUAAAUUACAUAUAUUUUUAAAUAAAUGAAAUCACAUAGCCAUACUCACAAAUAUGGUAAACUCUUUGGAAUGGAAAGGGAUGAGAACUACAAAGUAAAUGGAGGCCAAAGCCUCAGACCUGCCAGGCCCAGGGUCCAGAAGUGACAAGGAAUUCCAGUCCUGCAGAGUAAAUGGGGACCAAAAGGAUUCUUGGAGAACUGGAGGUUUAGCAUCAGACUCAUUGCUUAAAACUGUAUGUUAGGUAACAGGGGGGACAGAUGUAGGUCUGGCAAGUGGGACCUGAGCUAAGCCACCCCAACUCAUUAACUUCGUCUGUGACAUCUCUGAUAGCCCCCCAGACUGAGAAUCCUGAGCCACCUUUAGGAAGCCUGGUUUGGGACUAGGGUCCCAAGAGUCUGGGUUUAGACAAGUACAGAAAAAGAAAAUGGAGAGAAAAAUUCCUCUUAAAAAUAAGCCUGUGAAGAAACUGACACUGAGGCAGCCAGUAAGCUCAACUCGUAACGGAUGGAUUCACUUGUGAUAAGUGCAAAUAACAGAGCAAUCUUGGAAGUGAGUUUAAGUUUAGGACUUUAAAAAAGGUAAAGGAAGGAUUGACUUCCUUUCCUGUAAAAAGGAGAAAGUUAUGAAGUAAAACAAUUGUUGAUGUGAAAAAGAAACAAUGAGAAAUACUAAAAAUGAAAAGUAUUAUUGAAGUGAAUUCAAAUGGAAUAAACUCUAAAUCAAACACAUUUGAAGAGAUAGUUAGUGAAUUGAUAGAUAGUCCUGAGUAAUUCACGUAGAUGGAGAUAAAGAAAUGGAAAAUAUGAAAGAGCCAGUUAAGACAUGGUAAACCAGGGGCACCUGGGUGGCUCAGUCGGUUGAGUGUCCAACUUUGGCUCAGGUCAUGAUCUCACGGUUUGUGAGUUCAAGCCCUGCAUUGGGCUCUGUGCUGACAGCUCAGAGCCUGGAACCUGCUUCGGAUUCUGUGUCUCCCUCUCUGCCCC